CCUGACUGACCGAUAGUGAACCAGUACCGUGAGGGAAAGGCGAAAAGAACCCCGGCGAGGGGAGUGAAAAAGAACCUGAAACCGUGUACGUACAAGCAGUGGGAGCACCUUCGGGUGUGACUGCGUACCUUUUGUAUAAUGGGUCAGCGACUUAUAUUCUGUAGCAAGGUUAACCGUAUAGGGGAGCCGCAGGGAAACCGAGUCUUAACUGGGCGUUAAGUUGC
Molecule: ribosomal RNA, 224 nt
Filed under: Klebsiella aerogenes
Lineage: Bacteria; Pseudomonadati; Pseudomonadota; Gammaproteobacteria; Enterobacterales; Enterobacteriaceae
Also listed under: 5 other names
Description: partial 23S ribosomal RNA
Rfam family: Bacterial large subunit ribosomal RNA
Source: RNAcentral